UACGUAGGGAGCGAGCGUUGUCCGGAAUUACUGGGUGUAAAGGGAGCGUAGGCGGGGAUGCAAGUUGGGUGUCAAAACUACCGGCUCAACUGGUAGUCGCACUCAAAACUGCAGCUCUUGAGUGAAGUAGAGGCAGGCGGAAUUCCUAGUGUAGCGGUGAAAUGCGUAGAUAUUAGGAGGAACACCAGUGGCGAAGGCGGCCUGCUGGGCUUUUACUGACGCUGAGGCUCGAAAGUGUGGGGAGCGAACAGG
RNAcentral lists this ribosomal RNA (252 nucleotides) under uncultured bacterium. RNAcentral's name for it is "partial 16S ribosomal RNA". It matches the Rfam family "Bacterial small subunit ribosomal RNA", at positions 524 to 776 of the family's 1533-position model. The record is from RNAcentral.